Molecule: ribosomal RNA, 1204 nt
Filed under: uncultured bacterium
Lineage: Bacteria
Description: partial 16S ribosomal RNA
Rfam family: Bacterial small subunit ribosomal RNA
Source: RNAcentral
AGCGAGCUUGCCUAGAUGAUUUUAGUGCUUGCCCUAAAUGAAACUAGAUACAAGCGAGCGGCGGACGGGUGAGUAACACGUGGGUAACCUGCCCAAGAGACUGGGAUCACACCUGGAAACAGAUGCUAAUACCGGGUAACAACACUAGACGCAUGUCUAGAGUUUGAAAGAUGGUUCUGCUAUCACUCUUGGAUGGACCUGCGGUGCAUUAGCUAGUUGGUAAGGUAACGGCUUACCAAGGCAAUGAUGCAUAGCCGAGUUGAGAGACUGAUCGGCCACAUUGGGACUGAGACACGGCCCAAACUCCUACGGGAGGCAGCAGUAGGGAAUCUUCCACAAUGGACGAAAGUCUGAUGGAGCAACGCCGCGUGAGUGAAGAAGGGUUUCGGCUCGUAAAGCUCUGUUGGUAGUGAAGAAAGAUAGAGGUAGUAACUGGCCUUUAUUUGACGGUAAUUACUUAGAAAGUCACGGCUAACUACGUGCCAGCAGCCGCGGUAAUACGUAGGUGGCAAGCGUUGUCCGGAUUUAUUGGGCGUAAAGCGAGUGCAGGCGGUUCAAUAAGUCUGAUGUGAAAGCCUUCGGCUCAACCGGAGAAUUGCAUCAGAAACUGUUGAACUUGAGUGCAGAAGAGGAGAGUGGAACUCCAUGUGUAGCGGUGGAAUGCGUAGAUAUUUUGAAGAACACCAGUGGCGAAGGCGGCUCUCUGGUCUGCAACUGACGCUGAGGCUCGAAAACAUGGGGAGCCCUUUUAAGGNNNNNNCNNNNNNNNNNNNNNNANNNNNNGGGGCCUUUAAUGGNNNNNNNNNNNNNNCGCCUCUCAAAAAGCAGCUAACGCAUUAAGCACUCCGCCUGGGGAGUACGACCGCAAGGUUGAAACUCAAAGGAAUUGACGGGGGCCCGCACAAGCGGUGGAGCAUGAAAAAAAAUUCGAAGCAACGCGAAGAACCUUACCAGGUCUUGACAUCCAGUGCAAACAUAAAAAAUUAGGUGUUCCCUUCGGGGACGCUGAGACAGGUGGUGCAUGGCUGUCGUCAGCUUGUGUCGUGAGAUGUUGGGUUAAGUCCCGCAACGAGCGCAACCCUUGUCAUUAGUUGCCAUCAUUAAGUUGGGCACUCUAAUGAGACUGCCGGUGACAAACCGGAGGAAGGUGGGGAUGACGUCAAGUCAUCAUGCCCCUUAUGACCUGGGCUACACACGUGCUACA